Acipenser ruthenus (sterlet) is the source of this 472-nucleotide long non-coding RNA. RefSeq lists it as uncharacterized. The record is from RefSeq and is a predicted model, not a curated record. The transcript has 3 exons. Lineage: Eukaryota; Metazoa; Chordata; Actinopteri; Acipenseriformes; Acipenseridae.
GCAUGGAUGACCAGUUUCAUUUUUGAAACCCAAAGUAAUCAGCUGAAGAUAGGGUUAGGUUUAACCCUAUCCUGCCGGAGCAAUCUACUUUCAGGACUUAAAUCCUGAAUGCAAUCUCAUUUCCGGGUUGUCUUACGGCAAUAAGAAUUUGUGGGACAAUCAAAUCAGUCUUUCUGAGCCUUGUCAUUGGAUAAAGCUAUGCACUAGGAACAAAACAAAUUGUAUCAAAAACGUCUACCAGCGCGUAUUUUGAAGUGGAAGAGGACAAGAUGGAGAGCAGGCUUAUACUUGACAGUUGUUUGAAUCUCAUACUGACUACCAGCUUAAGCACACAGGAAUCACACACAGACCAAUCGCUCUGAGCAGGCUUCCCUUGCGCGCCCCGAUCUCAGCCCUCCCUGCAAAUCGGGUCUUGGUCUUCCAACCCGACCAACUCCUGCAAAGUAGGACCUCGCUUAUCGGGGUGUCUCAG